UACCAGCUCUCCGAGUGGUGUGGAUGUUUAUUGGGCCUAAAGCAUCCGUAGCUGGCUGGGCAAGUCCCCUGUUAAAUCCACCGAUUUAAUCGUUGGUGUGCGGGGGAUACUGUUCGGCUAGGGGACGGGAGAGGCCGACGGUAUUUUCGGGGUAGGGGUGAAAUCCUAUAAUCCCGGGAAGACCACCAGUGGCGAAGGCUGUCGGCUAGAACGCGCCCGACGGUGAGGGAUGAAAGCUGGGGGAGCGAACCGGAUUAGAUACCCGGGUAGUCCCAGCUGUAAACGAUGCAGGCUAGGUGUUUGGGCGGCCACGUGCCGCUCUAGUGCCGCAGAGAAGUCGUUAAGCCUGCCGCCUGGGGAGUACGGCCGCAAGGCUGAAACUUAAAGGAAUUGGCGGGGAGCACCACAAGGGGUGAAGCUUGCGGUUU
This 428-nucleotide ribosomal RNA is filed under the name uncultured archaeon. RNAcentral's name for it is "bacterial SSU rRNA". It matches the Rfam family "Archaeal small subunit ribosomal RNA", at positions 474 to 903 of the family's 1478-position model. The record is from RNAcentral.